This is a long non-coding RNA of Cydia fagiglandana, 758 nucleotides long. RefSeq lists it as uncharacterized. The record is from RefSeq and is a predicted model, not a curated record. The transcript is spliced from 2 exons. NCBI's taxonomy places the organism in Eukaryota, Metazoa, Arthropoda, Insecta, Lepidoptera, Tortricidae.
UUUGAUAUUUUACAUUUAAUAUUUGCUUCGGGUUGGUGUGGUGAAAAAUUUUGUGUUUCACUCGGGGGCAAAUUUUGUUUAACCCUCGUGCUUUGAAACCCUCGCUACGCUCAAGAUUCCAUUCUUCGAACCACUCGCUACGCUCGUGGUUCAAUUUUGGAAUCUUUCGCUUGCUCGGGUAUCAAUAUUAGCACGAGCGGUUAAACAACAACUUUGCUCCCUUGUAAAACAAAUAACUAUUAUUUAUCCAUUGGGUUCCGUAGCCAAAUGGCAAAAAACGGAACCCUUAUAGAUUCGUCAUGUCUGUCUGUCUGUCUGUCUGUCCGUCCGUAUGUCACAGCCACUUUGUUCCGAAACUAUAAGCACUAUACUGUUGAAACUUGGUAAGUAGAUGUAUUCUGUGAACCGCAUUAAGAUUUUCAUACAAAAAUAGAAAAAAAACAAAUAAAAUUUAGGGUUCCCCAUACAUAGAACUGAAACUCAAAAUUUUUUUUUUCAUCAAACCUAUACGUGUGGGGUAUCUAUGGAUAGGUCUUCAAAAAUGAUAUUGAGGUUUCUAAUAUCAUUUUCUUCUAAACUGAAUAGUUUGCGCGAGAGACACUUCCAAAGUGGUAAAAUGUGUCCCCCCCCCUGUAACUUCUAAAAUAAGAGUAUGAUAAAACUAAAAAAAAUAUAUGAUGUACAUUACCAUGCAAACUUCCACCGAAAAUUGGUUUGAACAAGAUUUGGUAAGUAGUUUUUUUUUAAUACGUCAUAAA